This 73-nucleotide transfer RNA is filed under the name Pteropus alecto (black flying fox). It matches the Rfam family "tRNA". From Rfam's summary of the family: Transfer RNA (tRNA) molecules are approximately 80 nucleotides in length. Their secondary structure includes four short double-helical elements and three loops (D, anti-codon, and T loops). Lineage: Eukaryota; Metazoa; Chordata; Mammalia; Chiroptera; Pteropodidae. The record is from Rfam by way of RNAcentral.
GGUUCCAUAAUGUAGUGGUUAGCCUGUCUGUUUUACACGCAGAAGGUCCUGGGUUCGCGCCCCAGUGGAGCCA